This is a long non-coding RNA of Stomoxys calcitrans (stable fly), 6821 nucleotides long. RefSeq lists it as uncharacterized. Lineage: Eukaryota; Metazoa; Arthropoda; Insecta; Diptera; Muscidae. The transcript has 3 exons. The record is from RefSeq and is a predicted model, not a curated record.
UGGAUAGCUAAAGGGCCGAAGAAGAAGAAAUAACAUCAUUUUGUCAAUGGGACGACCGCAUCAGCACCAAUGGGAGCAGAAAUAAAAUGGUCCACAGAAUACCUCCCAAGGAAAUUGCUCACUACCUCAUCGAGGACGAAGGACAACACCGGAGAAGCUUAAAGUAAAGGACAGGACCAGGACAGAACGGAAAGGAAAGGUCCUGUACUGGAACCAAAGGAGCUAUACCACCAAGGCUUAACCCAAUCCACCAGGAAACAGGUUCAUCCUUCACUCUCCUUGAACAUCUGUCCGUAGACAGGAAUCGUGGUGUCCCCUUGCGCUCCAAAAACGGGAUUAGGCUUUGAAAAGUUUAGGAAUUGCGUAAAAAAAGAAAAAGGAGAAAAAAAACAAGUAAAAGCGCGCUAAGUUCGGCCGGGCCGAAUCUUAUAUACCCUCCACCAUGGAUCGCAUUUGUCGAUUUCUUUUCCCGGCAUCUCUUCUUAGGCAAAAAAGGAUAUAAGAAAAGAGUUGCUCUGCUAUUAAAACGAUAUCAAGAUAUGGUCCGGUUCGGACCAAAAUUAAAUUAUAUGUUGGAGACCUGUGUAAAAUUUCAAGUUAAAUAGAGAGAACGAUUUAUAUGGGAUCCGUAUCGGGCUAUAGACCGAUUCAGACCAUAAUAAACACGUUUGUUGAUGGUCAUGAGAGGAUCCAUCGUACCAAAUUUCAGGCAUAUCGGAUAAUAAUUGCGACCUCUAGGGGUCUAGAAGCUCAAGAAGUCAAAUCCCCAGAUCUGUUUAUAUGACAGCUAUAUCAGGUUAUGGUCCGAUUUGAACCAUACUUGGCACAGUUAUUGGACAUCCUAACAAAACACGUCGUGAAAAUUUCAUUCUGAUCGGAUAAGAAUUGCGCACUCUAGAGGCUCAAGAAGUCAAGACCCAAGAUCGGUUUAUAUGGCAGCUAUAUCAAAACAUGGACCGAUAUGGCCCAUUUACAAUACCAACCGACCUACACUAAUAAGAAGUAUUUGUGCAAAAUUUCAAGCGGCUAGCUUUACUCCUUCGGAAGUUAGCGUGCUUUCGACAGACAGACGGACGGACGGACGGACGGCUAGAUCGACAUAAAAUGUUACGACGAUCAAGAAUAUAUAUACUUUAUAGGGUCUCAGACGAAUAUUUCGAGUAGUUACAAACAGAAUGACGAAAUUAGUAUACCCCCCAUCUUAUGGUGGAGGGUAUAAAAAUAAUAAAGCCCACAGGUAAGAAGAUGCGAUCAGGCAAUUAUGAAAAAAAAAAUAAUAAAAUUCGAUGCUGAGAAGUCUUGGUUGAGAAUUAAGAGCCUGUGUCGGCAUUGGUGGCUGACACCCUCCCCAUACCGCUUACCAAUCCCAGAGCAUACGUGGUGCUCCUGACCACCCAUCUGGAGAUGUGUACCAGAGUCAUCGUCACCGGAUACCGCGUUUCCGGCUUAUUUACCGCAGUGAAUUCGCCUUGUGUCUCCCUCACACUGUGAUUCCAUCAGCUAUAACUGUCGCCUGGCAGCUCAUAUUCCUCAUUCGUCCUCCCCCCUUACUACGAUGUGCAUCCUAAUGUCAUAGUUUCGCUGGGGCACAGGCGGGGUAGGCUCCGGAGGUCUAUGACACGUCACAAGUUGGCCGCCCACCGACGUCAGCACACGAUGGAAUCACAACCUGAGGAGGCUUCUGCGGUACUCCGGUCACGAAAACUCCGGCGCCCAUCUCCAAGAAUUGGUGUAGAGGGCUCACCACCGACCCUUUGGCCAGCAAGCAAAGUGGGGAAAGUCACAGCCGCCAAUGCAGCGAACGCGUGAGCUAAAAUAAAGAACCUCGUGUAGAGAAAAUGCCAUAUUCCGCGGUUUGAAACCCUGCGCCUUGCACAUGCGCAUAGGAAAAUCAUCAGAAGAAAUAAGAAGACAAAAACUGACAGAAAAAGUGAAGUCGUGACUCAAAAACAAAUUCAUCAGUGAAGUACGCUCUCUUCCAAGCCAAAGAAAAAAAAGGUAUCAAAAUUCGGGGUUCAGGAAAAAGACGAAAAAGGAAACAUGUUGCCAAGAGCGCUACGCCACUCUGGCUUCGGGACACUAUGCUAUCCCAUCCUAAGAUAAUAGUAUACCAAAAAGAAAUUCUCUACAACGACCUUAUAUCAAAAGCCUAGCCUAUAAAAAGCAAUCCGUACGCCAUUCAAGGCAAUUCAAACGGAUAAUAAAAACAAAAAUAAUAGCAAUAACAAAAUAACGAAGUUCAUAUGCAAUUCAACGCAAAAAGUAAUUCAUUUACCUAAACCUAAAAUUCUAAACCUAUGACUACUACCUAUGGCCUUAAACUAUUGCCUUAGAUCUUUGGCGUGAAAGACGCCCAAAGAUUUACCCUGAAGAUCCUCCACUUCGUAUAGAGAAUUCCCUACAGGCCGCACAAUUCUACACUUGAAGAACUUUUUAUCGAGUUUCGCGUUAUAGUCCUUAGAAAAGCUACUUUGCCGAAAACUACGGCGAAACACUUCCUGUCCGGGCAAGAAUUUAACUUGUCGGCAACGAAGAUUGUAGGAUUUUUCUCCCCUAAGGUAAGCUUUAUGCAGAUUAGCUCUGAUCAGCUCUCUGGUCUGCUCCAUAUUCUCCGAGUUAGGAAUAAGGUCGAUAUCUGGGUCGUUUAGUAGUUGAAGCUUACGCGCGAUCUUGUAAACGCUGCCGUGAUUUAUCAUGUUAACGCCGAACAAAGCGUAGUAAGGCGUCACGUUUAUUGCACUAUGCACCGACGAGCGCAGCGAACAUUCCACCUCCGAAAGGUGCUUAUCCCAUUCGCGGUGGUCUUCCUUGAGGUACGCCCUUAUCGCGGCCAGUACGGACUGGUUAACGCGCUCCGACGCGUUGGCCUGUGGCGAAUGGGUAGCGGUCUUCAUAUGGUUAACACCGAAAUUUUUAACCAAGUCCUGGAAUUCCUUACUAAUGAACUGUUUGCCAUUGUCGGAGACAAUGACUUCUGGAGUGCCAAACUUGUGGAAAACCUCUGAAAUCAGAAACUUUACCACAUUCUUGGCACUCGCCUUAGCCAUUGCCUUCAACAGCACGUAUUUAGACAAAUGGUCUAAAACAAUAAAAAUAAAGGAAUUCCCGGACUUGGAACGCGGAUAGGGACCGAGGAAGUCAACGUAAAUGCGUUGAAAUGGACGCUCCACUUCAAAUUCUUUGCCCAUGGGUGGACGUAAAGUUGUGGUUGCCGGCUUCGUCUCUUUGCAAACCUGGCAUUGUUUCACAAAACUUCGCACCUGCACAGCCAUGUUUGGCCAGUAAAAGUACUCUUUUACACGGUGCAAAGUUUUGCGAAACCCGCCAUGAGCCGAUGUAGGUGGGCAAUGAGCCCUUUCAAUGACUUGUUCAGUCAGCUCGGCCGGCAUCCACAACUUCCAUGCGAAAUCCUCACGCAAUGGGUCGCCAUCCUAAUGUCGCGUUCUUUUGUAGGCGACACCAUCGAUAACCCGAAAGUCGGGUAAACUUGCCGCGUUCUCUUCGAUACUCCGGGUAAGCUCUUGAUAGGCGUCAGACCUAAAGGCUGGCGAGGAGAGAUCCAACAACUGUCCUAAGUCCGCAGAAAGUUCGUCCAUAUCGUACCUAGACAAGGUAUCCGGAACAAUGUUCUGGGUACCCUGCCUAUGUUUGAUAUCGAACGUAAAGGACUGAAGAUGGAGGCUCCACCUCGCCAGUCUUCCGCUUAAAUCCCUAUGGGACAUCAACCAUUUGAGGCUGCUAUGGUCAGUGAUUAUGGUGAAAGCCAUUAAUUCAAUAUAAGGCCUGAAUUUUUUUAUUGCCAUAACCACAGCCAAGCACUCUCUCUCCGUCACUGAAUAAUUCCUUUGAGCGGACGUUAAUUUCUGUGAAAAAUAUGCAAUGGGAUGCUCUCCGCCCUCAUCAUCCUUCUGAAAAAGGACUGCUCCUAUUCCCCGGUCGGAGGCAUCACAUUGCACAUAGAAAUGUCUCUCAAAGCUCGGGUGAGAGAGUACUGGGCUUGUAAUCAGGGCCUGUUUCAACUGAUCAAAAGCAGCCUUCGCCUGGUCGGUAAAAACAAAAGCCUUACCCUUUUUAAGAGUAUCGAAGAUCGGGGUAGCUAUCGUCGCGUACUCGGGAAUAAACCGCCUAUACCAGCCGGUGGCGCCCAUAAAACUUCGCACUUGCUUGGCCGUCUUUGGGUAGUCAAAUCGCGCUAUAGUUUCAAUCUUUGCUGGAUCCGCCUUGAGAGUACCUCCACCAACAAUAUAGCCUAAGUAUCGGAGCUCUUUGAAGCAAAAUUUUGAUUUUGCCACAUUGAUCGUGAGCCCCGCAUUGGCUAACAAUUCAGCCACACGGUUCAGCAACUCCAGGUGAGUGUCAAAAUCUGGCGAAACCACCAAGAGGUCAUCCAAGUAAACAAAAACACGGUCUCUUAACCGGCAUAACCUCUGGGCUGCAUUACACAACCCAAAAGGCAUGACGGUAAAAUGAUAAAGAGGCCUCCCCGGCACCGUAAAGGCUGUUUUCUCCUUACUGGAUUCGUCGAGGGGUAUCUGCCAGAAAGCAUCCUUUAGGUCGACACUGGAUAUAAAAUAGGUGUCACCAAGCCGGCUGAGUAGACCUUCAAUAUGCGGAAGAGGAUAAGCGUCCUUGACGGUGAGAGCAUUAAGUUUGCGAGCAUCAACACAUAGUCUAUUUUUCUCGCCUUUGCGGACAAGUGUCACUGGAUGGCUCCAGGGACUUUCGCUUUGCUCUAUCACACCCAAGGAUAACAUCCUAUCCAACUCCGCAUACAUUAAUUUCUGCACAGCUGGUGACACCGGAUAGUGCUUACUUUUAACUGGAGUUGCAUCACGUGUGUCGAUUGUGUGUAUCUCAGACUGUGUCCGUCCCAAGCCUUUUUUAGUAAAGCAGGGGAACUUUUCUAUGACAUCCUCCAAGCGUUUCCGCUGGAAGUCUGACAACAGAUGGACUUUCUUGUCAUCAUUGAUACCGCCGUCAGCUUCUUCACAAAGUCUGAUAUUGUUGGUGGUGAUGCUCUCAAUUUGGGCAAAAAGCUGGAACUUGCGCAUAAAAUCUAUGCCAAGAAAAAGCGACCUUCCCAAAGACGGCACCAAAAAGAAGGUUAUUUCAUGCGACAUUUUUAUUAAAAGUAACCGUGGCCGUGACGCGACCUACUAUUUUAUGAGGGCUUUCAUCCGCGGUAUGUAUAUAUGAGUGGAAGGGAUGUACCACUAGAUUCGCACGGCCGACGAAGUCGACGCAACCUUUUCCCAGACAGGAUACCGUGGCACCGCUGUCGAGCAGACCCUCUAUUUCUUGACCAUUAAUAACUAACCGUGUAUAAAAGCGAGUGUCGUCACCCUCGUAGAGCGAUGCGGCCGCAAUUUGUCGCCGUAGAGCUUUCCUCUUUUUGUAACGCUCGCGCGCUUUCUUUACCUUUUUGGAGAUCCCAAAAAUCCUCACCUUUGCCUCGUUAUACUCUUGUACCCGGACAUGUAAAGGCUUCAAUUCUCUAAGCUUUGGGACAAGUGUAGAACUAUGCUCAUGUUGUUGGGGAUUCCUAAGAAGGGUGAUCUUUCUAUCAGGGGAUGGGACUGGAGUUAAACUGGUGUCGACCGCACCUCUCCAGUCUGAGGUGGGAUCCUCUGUCGGUUUCCCUGACAUUUCGGGCAGUUUCUGACGGUUACUCCAUCAUGACCACACCUGUAGCAAAAGAAUUUUCUAGGCGCGGCACAAUCCACCCAGCUAUGCCCUUCCAAACCACAAUUCCAGCAUUUCAGAUUUGUUUUGCCUUGAAUUGCAUCCACUUCCAUGGCCUCCGAAGGCAACUCUUCCUCCCAGGCUAAUUCGUGAACGCGCUGCGACCCUAGAUUAGGGCGUUGAUACUGUUGACGGUGGCUUGCAAGAAGAUUUUCUGCCCUUUUGACUUCUCUGUAGAAGCUCCCCAAGUCGUUAACUCUCACUGAGAAUAUCAUCUGUGCCAAUGAUGUUUUCAGGUUGCCCCUCAUAAUUUCCACCAUCUCCGCCUCUCGAUAGGGUUGCUUCUGCUGGUUUCGCAACUGAAUCACCGCAUUAUAAAAAUCUUCAAAUGUUUCUUGUGGCUGCUGGCGACGAUUGAGAAUUUGUGUUUGAAUCUGGAAUUCGUUUUCAAACCGCUGGUAUUGCGUCAGCAGAGCCCUCUCAAUUUCUUCCCAAGAUCGAAAUUGGACAAACUUGCGGUGGUUCCAGUACCAGUCUAGCGCUGGUUUCUCCAAGAGCUGGUGAAACUUAGUUAGGAAUUCGCCUUCCGGGCAAUCAUAAUCUCUUUUAAGCUCUCCUACUCGAAAGAUAAACUCCUGCACGUUCAUGGUUUUGGAGGUGCCAUCAAAUUUUAUACCCCACUUGGUCAAAUUUAGCUUGCUGGUCGAAUCAGUGUGUGUGCUGCCUCCAGGCCUUCCAAAAUGUGAAGAAGGACCUGGAAAAUGCGCCGGUUGCAACGGCGGCUGCAAAUAUGGUGGUGGCUCACUUGUGUUAGGCUGCUGUGGCCUCUCAUUCAAUGGCGUGUAAUAGUUUGGCUGGGCUGAACCCCAGGAAUUGCGGUACACCGAUGGCACGCUGAGACCGCCGGCCUCCGAAACUGGUGGUGCUGGCAUAGAUGAGUGUGGGACAGUGCUGGUGCUUGGUACAAAAGGCGGUGGUUGUGAGUAUACGGCCCCAGCCUGUUGAUAUGACGAGACUGGUGGAGCUACUGGCGCCUGCAUAUGUGACAAACCUCUAGGCGGAUGCGUUUGCCCCAAAGACAUAUGCUGUCCCUGGCCUAGUAGUGGUCUUCCAGGCUGUCCUGUUGCCAGCUUAGCCAU